ACCUACGGGGGGCAGCAGUAGGGAAUUUUCGUCAAUGGGCGCAAGCCUGAACGAGCAAUGCCGCGUGAACGAGGAAGGUCUUCGGAUCGUAAAGUUCUGUUGAAGGGGAAAAAGAGCGGAGAGAGGAAAUGGUCUCCGAUUGAUAUUACCCUUCGAGGAAGUCACGGCUAACUACGUGCCAGCAGCCGCGGUAAUACGUAGGUGGCGAGCGUUAUCCGGAAUGAUUGGGCGUAAAGGGUGCGUAGGCGGCCUGCUAAGUCUGGAGUGAAAGGUACCGGCUCAACCGGUACCGGCUCUGGAAACUG
This 305-nucleotide ribosomal RNA is filed under the name uncultured bacterium. Its description in RNAcentral is "bacterial SSU rRNA". It matches the Rfam family "Bacterial small subunit ribosomal RNA", at positions 337 to 635 of the family's 1533-position model. The record is from RNAcentral.